Molecule: ribosomal RNA, 139 nt
Filed under: uncultured bacterium
Lineage: Bacteria
Description: partial 16S ribosomal RNA
Rfam family: Bacterial small subunit ribosomal RNA
Source: RNAcentral
UGGGGAAUAUUGCACAAUGGGGGAAACCCGUGAUGCAGCGACGCCGCGUGAAGGAAGAAGUAUCUCGGUAUGUAAACUUCUAUCAGCAGGGAAGAUAGGUGACGGUACCUGACUAAGAAGCCCCGGCUAAUUACGUGCC